GUCUACGCCCAUACCACCCUGAAUGUGCCCGAUCUCAUCUGAUCUUGGAGGCUAAGCAGGGUUGGGCCUGGGAAGUACUUGGAGGGGAGACUAAGUUAAGAAGGACAGGAAGGGAAU
This 117-nucleotide ribosomal RNA is filed under the name Octodon degus (degu). The record is from RNAcentral. Lineage: Eukaryota; Metazoa; Chordata; Mammalia; Rodentia; Octodontidae.